UUUUCCCAAAUUUUUGUUUGAGGAUCUUUUCCUAAUUUAAUUAAAACGAAUAUAGAACUUGGAAUUAUUUCGUCCAAGAAAAAAAAUGGAAACAAUACCCAAAUUUCUUUCUCCCUUCCUACCAGCGAAAACUAGUCCCCAAUUCCCCCGUUUCAGAUCCAAAGUCAAUCAACCCAAAACUCUCACUUCUUUGUUCACAAUCAAAACCCCAAAUUUCUUCCUCAAUCAAUCCCUAAUAUACUAAUUCCUGCACCUCAUUAGAAUUGAUAAACAAACCCUAAUUUCGGAAAUCUGAAUUUCAGUUAUGGAGCUUCAAUCGAUUCAAUACUGCAACUUUCUUCAUCAAAAUCUAUAUUAGCCAUGGAGGUUUUGUAUGGCGAUUCUAGUCGCAAGGCUCAAACAAUAGAUCUAACAGAACAAAGGAUAAUCACAAGCUCAAAGAGAAGUUGAAGAAAUUUUGGGGUGAAGAUCAUGUGUGCUUGGUCAGGGAUUUCACCGGUAAUUGGAAAGAUCCAAUUAAGGCAGUGCACAAAGGAGGCCCAAGAUUUGAAAUUGAAAUUCAACUACCAAAAGGGAAUUGGAGCUUUACGCGUUGUUGUUGUUGCAGGAUACCGAUGAACUACAGUCUGAAACCAAGUGUGCUCUCGGUAACAGUGGGAUGAAUGAGCCCCUAGGUGCUCGCUCGUGCCCGUUUGUUCUUAUGCUUGUUGCGGAGAGCUUCUCUCAUAUUGAAGUACACGAUGCGUUGCUCUUUAUUGACAACCAUUUUUUGUUUUACUCAAGUUGUUUGUGCCCACAUUAAUAAUAUGUAUUAUUGUCCCUUAUAGGAUCUUGUCAUAGUUAUGCAGACCUUAUAGUUUUUUUCUACUUUUUUUUUAUUAAUUUUUUUGGAGAAUACAUUUGAUGUAAUAUGAGAUUUUUAUAUAUAUCAAUAGUAUGAAUUAUUAUGAAA
Spinacia oleracea (spinach) is the source of this 952-nucleotide long non-coding RNA. RefSeq lists it as uncharacterized. The transcript has 4 exons. NCBI's taxonomy places the organism in Eukaryota, Viridiplantae, Streptophyta, Magnoliopsida, Caryophyllales, Amaranthaceae. The record is from RefSeq and is a predicted model, not a curated record.